UGAAAACUGUAAUGAGAGGACGGG
Molecule: non-coding RNA, 24 nt
Filed under: Cricetulus griseus (Chinese hamster)
Lineage: Eukaryota; Metazoa; Chordata; Mammalia; Rodentia; Cricetidae
Source: RNAcentral